GCCAAGAUAGCUCAGCUGGUAGAGCAAUGCACUCGUAACGCAUAGGUCCCGGGUUCAAAUCCCGGUCUUGGCU
RNAcentral lists this transfer RNA (73 nucleotides) under Candidatus Moraniibacteriota bacterium. RNAcentral describes it as "tRNA-Thr". It matches the Rfam family "tRNA". Rfam says of the family: Transfer RNA (tRNA) molecules are approximately 80 nucleotides in length. Their secondary structure includes four short double-helical elements and three loops (D, anti-codon, and T loops). The record is from RNAcentral. Lineage: Bacteria; Candidatus Moraniibacteriota.